CAAUGUGUCAAUGUUUUGACUUUUAUAUGUCUGGUGUGGCGGUUUGCAAUGAUAGAUGUAAAACCUAAUUUCGCAGAGUGAGUUUGAUGGAGUCCACACAAUUACAGUAACCACCCGAGAUAACACAGAGCGCAAAAGACAGGUCACCAAGGACAAAUUAUGAAAUGGUCAUCCAUAGAGAAUGGAAAUCCCCACGGGAUUCUCAGAGGAGAUUGUUUCCUGAAGCAGGAGUCUGGAAUGCAACAACAAGUCUGGGCUUGCUGCCUGUCACCUGAGUCUCCCAUUGGAAUGUACACCUACCCCCAUCUAUAUGCACAUGCAGACACAAUCGUGCAUGUACACGCACGCACACACAUACACACACACACGUGAAAGCAGGUGAACACAAAUGCGUGUGCGCACAGACACACGAGUGUGAGUGCACACAGACACGCAUGCACGCAAAGCACGCACACACACACACACACACACACACACACACACACACACACACACACACACACACACACACACACACAAAAACACCCACCCACAGAGAGGAUCUACAUACAUCCAUGUAUUUCUAUGUGGUAACUUGUGGCAACUUUAUCUGUAUGUAAGUGUGAAAUUGCAAAGGCAUUGUGUAAAAUUGCUCACACAAAAAACGGAACUGGGUUAAGUGUAAAAACAACUCCAGCAGAGAUCUUGACAUAAGAUGAGAGUGUUCACGUCAGCGGAUAGAAGACACCCACCUCCCCGCCACGCUAACCCCUUAAACACCUCUCCUCUCACAUGUAUUCACACAGCAGUUCCAAUGGGAAUACACAGGUAGCCAUAAUGCUCAAACAUUUACAGCAACACUGUUCAGGCCCUAGCCUCAUACUUCUCAUGAGCAUAAAUACAUCAGACGUGUUGAUGUUCUAGGGGAACUAAGCCACAGACAGACAGAUAGAUAGCAGCAAAGGAACACCAGUCAUGAAAGACACCGGUCACAUCAGCCUGACCCCCCACAGUGGCCUCCCCAUAAUCUUACCAUGCGCCAUCUAUCACAGUAUGCUUUACUGUGGGAUGAAGUCACUUUGCCAUAGUGCACCCUGCUUUUUAUUGGUCUUCCCACUGGAUGUUUCCCUCAGAGCCCCUGGGGCAUGCUGGGAAUAGAAAUGAAGUAGCUGAGCGGCCUAUAAUUCUCAGGCAUUCUGACUCAGUAAGGGGUCCACUGCACUUCAGCCAUUCCAGAAAGAGAUUCAAGAAAGAGACUCGAGAGAGAGAGCGAGCCAGAGAGAGAGAGAGCGAGCCAGAGAGAGCGAGCCAGGGAGAGCCAGAGGACUAAUUUGGGUGAAACAGGGCAAGGAUGGUAAAUUAGCAUAAGAAAGAUUUUUAAAAAGAUAGACUACUAGGUUGUACUCUUUAACUGUCUUAUUAUACAGAUUUAACAUUUGUAAAAGCCUUUGAGUCCUCUUUAUUUGGAGAGGGCAAAUUAAAAAGGACGGACAAUGUGUGUGUGCACCCUGGACCAUUAGCACCCUGUCUGGCUGCCUCCUCAUCUGUCACAAUUAUUCUUUCUAUUCUAUUAUUUUAUUCUUCACAACCAAUAUACAUCACUUUAUCUUUUUAAUCAAUGGCACCAACACAUAAACAGAUACUCAGACACAAAGGGCAAAGUUUUAUAAAGAGAAAUAGUUAACAACGUUAACAGAUUACAUUAGCACUCUUGGAUACUAGUACUGUAAUCUAAAUUGGUUUAGCUAAUUAGGGUCAGUAAGGGCACAACUGAUCAGUGGUCAACAGAGGUUCUUUACUGUCCAGACACAGAGGGUGGUUGACAGCUUGGGAGUAGUUAACAAGAUAGAGUAUACUGUCUGGUCUGGGUGACACUUGAAAACCAUUGCCACAGUGGCCCUUGUACAAUCAUCAUGUGAGAUAGAAUAACGCUAUUAUACGCUAUUUGGGAGAUGUCAUUUGACAUUUGAAAGAGGGUAGACAUCUGCAUCCAGACUGAAAGAAGCAACACUGCAAUACCAAACCCCAGCAAUUUCCCAACCAGUGACUUUCCACUUAAAUAAUUACUCAGGCAAAUCAGGGGCAGAGUUACACGACACAGACGGGACGGAAUGGAAAAUGCCGUCUGUAAUCUCUUUCACACUCUUGCUCUCUCCCUGGGAGGUGUGUGUGUGUGAGGGUGUGUGCGCGCCCUUGAAGCUGGUAGACAUUAACCUCAUAGCGAGACAGCGCCAGCCUGACAUAUGAAGGGUAAAAGUUGAACAUGUGUGACUGUCCUCCCAGCCAUGUUUACCAGGACGCCCUCAAAAUGUGGUAUUGGAACUGACCCAGUGUAUAUACAGUACCUUCGGAAAGUGUUCAUAACCCUUGACUUAGUCCACAUUUUUUUUUGUGUUACAGCCUGUAUUAAAAUUUAUGAAAUUAAGAUUUAAGAUACACAAAAUACCCCAUAAAGACAAAGUGAAAACAUGUUUUUUGUUAUUUUAGCAAAUGUAUUGAAAAUGAAACACAGAAAUAUUUCAUUUACAAAAGUAUUCAUACCCCUGAGUCAAUACAUCUUAAAAUCAAUUUUGGCAGCGAUUACAGCUGUGAGUCUUUCCGGGUAAGUCUCAAUCGUUUAUUUAUUUAUUUUUUAAACAUUUUUAUUUGACCUUUAUUUAACUAGGCAAAACAGUUUUAAAGGUUUUCCUCUAGGAUUUUGCUUGAAAAUAUGGAUAGUGGUACCUAGUAAUGUGUUGUAUGGGAUUUGCCCCUAACAUAACACUUUGCAUUCAGGACAAAAAGUUAAUUGCUUUGCCACAUUUCUUGCAGUAUUACGCACUGAAGCAUGCAUGAGACCACCAGCUGUUCCGGAUGACUGUGUUAUAACCCUCUCCAUAGCCGAUGUGAGCAAGACCUUUAAACAGAUCAACAUUCACAAGGCCGCGGGGCCAGACGGAUUACCAGGACGUGUACUCAGAGUAUGUGCGGACCAACUGGCAAGUGGCUUCAAGCAGACCACCAUAGUCCCUGUGCCCACGAAAGCGAACGAAGGUAACCUGCCUAAAUGACUACCGCCCCAUAGCACUCACAUUGGUAGCCAUGAAGUGCUUUGAAAGGCUGGUCAUGGCUUA
This 3092-nucleotide long non-coding RNA is filed under the name Salmo salar (Atlantic salmon). Its description in RNAcentral is "lncRNA (ENSSSAG00000086823.1)". Lineage: Eukaryota; Metazoa; Chordata; Actinopteri; Salmoniformes; Salmonidae. The record is from RNAcentral.